GGCUCUACUCAGCAGCUUUCUGAGACAGAUUCAGAUACACACAGCCAACCAUGGAAAGGAGGUUGGGGACCCCUAUGCAAAAGAAUGACCUCCUUUCUGCUUCUCAUCAGAAAAGAACAGUCUUCUAAGAUAUAACAACGAAACUUAACAAAAUAAAAUAUAAUAGAUGAAGUAAAAA
Molecule: long non-coding RNA, 178 nt
Organism: Mastomys coucha (southern multimammate mouse)
Lineage: Eukaryota; Metazoa; Chordata; Mammalia; Rodentia; Muridae
Exons: 2
Source: RefSeq, a predicted model, not a curated record